Molecule: long non-coding RNA, 1030 nt
Organism: Magnolia sinica
Lineage: Eukaryota; Viridiplantae; Streptophyta; Magnoliopsida; Magnoliales; Magnoliaceae
Exons: 4
Source: RefSeq, a predicted model, not a curated record
UGGCAGGUUUACUGUAGAUUAAGCCCAGUUUCGCUGCAUGAAAGGUUAUGGAAUCACAUGAAAGGUUAUUUACUGGUUAGCUUUGUAUCCCUGCUAGGUCUGAAAAUGAAAAUAUGCCAUUUCGUCGAAAAAUCUGACAGAUUGCAGCGGGGGUGGUGGUUUGGAUCAGUCAAAUGGACCUUGUUGCAGUAGACAUAAGGUGUUUGGUUUUACUAGCUGGACACUUGCCAAGGUGUUCUACAAUAGUCAGAUUCAAUAUUAGAGUAGACAUGGUGUUUUAAUUAUGUGACACAGACUUCAGAUAAUCUUCCCAGUUAUUGUUUGCCUUCUGCUCCGACUAGAAGUAUUGGCUAUGUGCUGCAGGUACGAUCUGCUACACUCGACACAUGGCUUCCAGAAUAGGUUGCAUUUAUUCAAACAAUGGGAAAUGAGAAGUCAAAUAGCUGCUGGGAAGCAGAACUGCCUCCAAAUUAUGAUAGAAAUCUUUUGGUGGGCUCUAGCUGAUGAAUAGCUUGGAUCCAUCACAUGUGCUGCGAAUCACCUUAACACCCAUCUUAUACGUAAAAUCUAUUUGUUUAGGGUCUAAACACCUUGGUCUUAUUGGAUGUCUUUCACUUAGCAAUACGAGAUUUCUUGUGCAUCAACUAAAGCUUUGUGUUUUCCUGAAUUGUGCAUGGUAAAAUGGGAUUUCACUAACUUGUUAGCAUGCCUGACUUGAGCUGACAAAACAGGUUUCUUCUAAUUCAAAAGUAGAGCCGGUCCCAGUGCAGGCUGAUUCAACACAGAAAGUGCAACCUAAACCCAAUAUCCCACCUACAAAGGUUGUUGAAAUCAUUGACCGGUAUGAGACAGUGCAUUCCAGAGAGCUCAAGAGGCAAUAAGCUUGCAUUUAUACAGGACCUGAAAAUGGACAAAACCUGCACUAGGACAGUAACAGACAUGUUUCUGAGGGGGCAAAACCCAAAGGCAGGGGAGCUCCGAAGAAGGCUCCUGCUAGAAAGGUGUGCUUGCAAAUCCUGAACUUCUUAUU